RNAcentral lists this ribosomal RNA (586 nucleotides) under uncultured bacterium. Its description in RNAcentral is "partial 16S ribosomal RNA". It matches the Rfam family "Bacterial small subunit ribosomal RNA", at positions 355 to 1375 of the family's 1533-position model. The record is from RNAcentral.
UGGGGAAUUUUGGACAAUGGGCGAAAGCCUGAUCCAGCAAUGCCGCGUGUGUGAAGAAGGCCUUCGGGUUGUAAAGCACUUUUGUCCGGAAAGAAAUCCUUGGCUCUAAUACAGUCGGGGGAUGACGGUACCGGAAGAAUAAGCACCGGCUAACUACGUGCCAGCAGCCGCGGUAAUACGUAGGGUGCAAGCGUUAAUCGGAAUUACUGGGCGUAAAGCGUGCGCAGGCGGUUUGCUAAGACCGAUGUGAAAUCCCCGGGCUCAACCUGGGAACUGCAUUGGUGACUGGCAGGCUAGAGUGUGGCAGAGGGGGGUAGAAUUCCACGUGUAGCAGUGAAAUGCGUAGAGAUGUGGAGGAAUACCGAUGGCGAAGGCAGCCCCCUGGGCCAAUACUGACGCUCAUGCACGAAAGCGUGGGGAGCAAAACAGGAUUAGAUACCCUGGUAGUCCACGCCCUAAACGAUGUCAACUAGUUGUUGGGGAUUCAUUUCCUUAGUAACGUAGCUAACGCGUGAAGUUGACCGCCUGGGGAGUACGGUCGCAAGAUUAAAACUUAAAGGAAUUGACGGGGUCAUAGCUGUUUCCU